AGUGAACGCUGGCGGUAGGCCCAACACAUGCAAGUCGAACGGCAGCACAGUAAGAGCUUGCUCUUACGGGUGGCGAGUGGCGGACGGGUGAGGAAUACAUCGGAAUCUACUUUUUCGUGGGGGAUAACGUAGGGAAACUUACGCUAAUACCGCAUACGACCUACGGGUGAAAGCAGGGGAUCUUCGGACCUUGCGCGAUUGAAUGAGCCGAUGUCGGAUUAGCUAGUUGGCGGGGUAAAGGCCCACCAAGGCGACGAUCCGUAGUUGGUCUGAGAGGAUGAUCAGCCACACUGGAACUGAGACACGGUCCAGACUCCUACGGGAGGCAGCAGUGGGGAAUAUUGGACAAAGGGCGCAAGCCUGAUCCAGCCAUACCGCGUGGGUGAAGAAGGCCUUCGGGUUGUAAAGCCCUUUUGUUGGGAAAGAAAAGCAGCAGGUUAAUACCCCGCUGUUCUGACGGUACCCAAAGAAUAAGCACCCGCUAACUUCGUG
This 492-nucleotide ribosomal RNA is filed under the name uncultured bacterium. Its description in RNAcentral is "partial 16S ribosomal RNA". It matches the Rfam family "Bacterial small subunit ribosomal RNA", at positions 29 to 507 of the family's 1533-position model. The record is from RNAcentral.